CACGUAGGGCGCAAGCGUUGUCCGGAAUUAUUGGGCGUAAAGAGCUUGUAGGUGGCUCGUUGCGUCGGGAGUGAAAACCUGCGGCUUAACCGCAGGCCUGCUUCCGAUACGGGCGAGCUAGAGUUCGGCAGGGGAGACUGGAAUUCCUGGUGUAGCGGUGGAAUGCGCAGAUAUCAGGAGGAACACCGGUGGCGAAGGCGGGUCUCUGGGCCGUUACUGACGCUGAGGAGCGAAAGCGUGGGGAGCGAACAGG
RNAcentral lists this ribosomal RNA (253 nucleotides) under uncultured bacterium. RNAcentral's name for it is "partial 16S ribosomal RNA". It matches the Rfam family "Bacterial small subunit ribosomal RNA", at positions 524 to 776 of the family's 1533-position model. The record is from RNAcentral.